This 207-nucleotide ribosomal RNA is filed under the name uncultured bacterium. RNAcentral's name for it is "partial 16S ribosomal RNA". It matches the Rfam family "Bacterial small subunit ribosomal RNA", at positions 568 to 774 of the family's 1533-position model. The record is from RNAcentral.
GGCGUAGGCGGAGAUGUAAGCCAGACGUGAAAGCCCGGGGCUCAACCCCGGAAUAGCAUUUGGAACUACAUUCCUUGAGGAUAGGCGGAGAAAACGGAAUUCUGCAUGUAGCGGUGAAAUGCGUAGAUAUGCAGAAGAACAUCGGUGGCGAAGGCGGUUUUCUAGCUUAUUCCUGACGCUGAGGCCCGAAAGCUAGGGGAGCGAACA